UGGGGAUUAUUGCACAAUGGGCGCAAGCCUGAUGCAGCCAUGCCGCGUGUAUGAAGAAGGCCUUCGGGUUGUAAAGUACUUUCAGCGGGGAGGAAGGGAGUAAAGUUAAUACCUUUGCUCAUUGACGUUACCCGCAGAAGAAGCACCGGCUAACUCCGUGCCAGCAGCCGCGGUAAUACGGAGGGUGCAAGCGGUAAUCGGAAUUACUGGGCGUAAAGCGCACGCAGGCGGUUUGUUAAGUCAGAUGUGAAAUCCCCGGGCUCAACCUGGGAACUGCAUUCGAAACUGGCAGGCUAGAGUCUUGUAGAGGGGGGUAGAAUUCCAGGUGGAGCAGUGAAAUGCGGAGAGAUCUGGAGGAAUACCGGUGGCGAAGGCGGCCCCCUGGACAAAGACUGACGCUCAGGUGCGAAAGAGGGGGGAGCAAACAGG
Molecule: ribosomal RNA, 429 nt
Filed under: Chloroflexota bacterium
Lineage: Bacteria; Bacillati; Chloroflexota
Description: Chloroflexi bacterium partial 16S ribosomal RNA
Rfam family: Bacterial small subunit ribosomal RNA
Source: RNAcentral